RNAcentral lists this long non-coding RNA (673 nucleotides) under Homo sapiens (human). Its description in RNAcentral is "HSALNT0163133". The record is from RNAcentral. Lineage: Eukaryota; Metazoa; Chordata; Mammalia; Primates; Hominidae.
GAAAAAAAUAAGACAGUUAAAGAAGUUCUAUCUUUCUGUAAGAAAUUUUCAAAGGAUGUUUCAAAGGCAGAAUUAUAAUCUUCGGUGUAAGGGGGUAGUGAUAACCGACAUGUCAUGCCUCCAGAACCUAUUCUGCUUUGUUUUUGCUUCUGUCAAAACACAGUCUGUCAUUGAGAUUGAAUUAAGAUUUCAUCUCCUCCUCUAAUUAUCUAUUCAUUUAUUUAAAGAGGAGUCAGGAGGCUAGCCGAACAUUAAAAGCUGACUGUGACCUCCUAAAAAGAUGAGUCAGGAAAUAAACUGGGGAGCACCAUGAAUCAUGGCAGAAAUAUAUUGACUGGGGAAAUAUAAGCUGCUCUUGCUCAGACGCUGAAAACACCAAGCCCUUAUCUUUUAUGGUUGGUGCCACGGUUUCUCAAAUACAGUCUGAUGGAUCUGGGAGAGCAGAACUCUUAGCGGAAGUUAUUUCUUUCCUUGUUAUGGAUCCAGAAUUCUCUUGGGCAUAAACUACUUUCCUUCUUGGCUGGUGACCUCAGGCAAUUAUGAGGACUUGAGGAUGAUGGAGCUGGGGUAUCUGUCAACUCACCGGUUGCCAGAGUCCAUGUGACUAAUAUGGCUGGCUUGAUGUUCUCUUCCUCACUCAUCACAUAGUGAGGAAUCCUCCUGAAAUUCCGUG